AAUAAAUACCAUCACUAAAAGUAUAAUAAUUAUAUUCUAAGAUUCUUGAGAAAGUACUUAACACCCACAAUAAUUUUCAAAAUCUUUCUACAUAUCAUAUGCUAUGAACAUUCAAAGUGAAAACCAUGGUCAUCAGCUUCGACGAGGGCAAUGUUUAUGAUGUCGACCGUUGCGUUGAACACUUGAAUGUGUUAAAAAUCAGAUAUCUGAGUACGUAGCAAUAUUAUGGUAUACAUACAAAAAGUUCCGAUAAAUAACAAAACCUCUGACAAAGAAACUCGGCAAUUACCGCAGUACCUAAUAACUAUAGCAGUAACUGCUUAUACACUGUCAAAUGUGGACUAAAUAUUUUAUGCAGCUUUUGAUCUGAAAAUAAUAAGUGGCGGCUAAAUUGAAUAAACAAUUAGGGACUUGACAGUCUUUAAUUUGACUAUACUACUAAGAUUGUAAAGAGAAACAGCUGGGUAAAUCCAGGACAACACCAACAGUAGAACAGCAGAAAUAAAAAAAACAACCCAUACAGCAAGACCAAAUGACAAGUACACAGCCACAAAACAUGGAAACAAAACAGUGAAAAACUAGAUCAAGACAAUAAACAGAAUACUAUUUGUUUAACAUAAAACCAGUUAGUUAAGCCUUUUCAUUGCAUAAUACUUUUUUUUACAUAUAUUAUAUUAGCAUAUUAUGGCAUAUUUUUUUACAUAAUAUGUCCCUACAGAAAUUCGGUAAAAAUAAUAAACAUUAUUUUAUAAGUACAGUGAAAAUAAUCAAUUUUAAUUUUGAAUCAUUCAUAAAUCAUUUAAUUUUCAUCUUAUAACUUUGA
This is a long non-coding RNA of Aphis gossypii (cotton aphid), 823 nucleotides long. RefSeq lists it as uncharacterized. NCBI's taxonomy places the organism in Eukaryota, Metazoa, Arthropoda, Insecta, Hemiptera, Aphididae. The transcript has 3 exons. The record is from RefSeq and is a predicted model, not a curated record.